This is a long non-coding RNA of Zootoca vivipara (common lizard), 3171 nucleotides long. RefSeq lists it as uncharacterized. NCBI's taxonomy places the organism in Eukaryota, Metazoa, Chordata, Lepidosauria, Squamata, Lacertidae. The record is from RefSeq and is a predicted model, not a curated record.
CCGCAAGGCUCAGAGGUCUUUGCUGCAACAGACCUGCUACGGCUGGUCUGCCACGCAAGUCCGCGCGGCAGCGAGUCCAGUUCAAACACGGAUCCAAGUGACGAAAGAGAUUCCGACUAAACGUCAGGAAGAACACAGUGAAAAACAACAGGUUUCCUGGGAGGGCGAUAUAGCCUCGGGAGGUUUUUAAGCAAAGGUUGGGUGGCCACGUGUCGUGCGUGAUCUCGUUGAGAUUCCUGCAUUGCAGGGGGUCAGUCUAGACGACCCUCGGACCCCUGUACAGUUCUAUGCUUCUACGGUGCGCACUACUUCGCGGUGAACGCGCUUCGGGCUGCGUCGGGAAGGCUCCCCCCGCACGCGUCCCUAAUGCAAUGCGGAGAAAGAGGCCAUGCGGACCGAGCAGCUCCACCCCCUCCCUCCAGCCCGAUUCCCGGAUCUGGCAGCCAAUGAGAGCGGAGGCGAUUGAAUUUGGGCAAGCUAAGAGGAUCCCCAGCAUGCAUUGCAGCCCCAGCCAUGGAGGCGGAGGAGGAGGAGGAGGAGUACUUUCGGCGCUUAGAUCUCCGGCGGGCUUGGCCGGGUGUGUAUGUUGGCAAAGGGGGGAAUCCAUCCCCAUCCUUGCGCGGGGGACUUGCCACGGAUCGGGUGAUGUGCUGGGCGGGCGCACAGUUGGGAAUGGUGGGGGCCCGGGGCGCCUCCCAGGAAUCCUGCACCGGAGCCUUGUUAGGCUAACUUUAAGCCCCCUUAAUUUAGCGGAUCGGGUAGGUAAGGUUCCCACCACCGAUAUGGAUCUGCGAGGUUGCUGGGAAAGCUCAAAUGCCGAGCGCCACUGCGCAGACCUGCCUCGGUAACCUGCGCCUUGCGGGUGUGCGCUUGCCUAUUCCGCCCUGCCUAGCUCGGUGGGGAGAGCACGUGCUUUUUUGUGAAGCACGCGAAAGGUCCCAGGUAAGGGCAGCUCUCCAGGAAAGGGCUAGGAAAGGUUCCUGUUCUGCAACCUUGGAGAGUUUCAGACAGUUAAGGGUAAGACCAGCGUUCCCCAACCACGUGUUCUCCGGAUGCUGUCGGAUUGCAUCUGGCUGCCUGGAGAAGAUUGAGAGGAGAGAUGAUCUAGCCAUCUUCAAAUACCUAUAGGGCUGCCACGUGGAAGAUGGAGGAGGAUUGUUUUCUCCUGCUCAGGAAGGUAGGACCCAAACCAGUGGAUUCAAAUGACAGUAAGAGCUGUUUGACAGUGGAACAGACUCCCUCAGGAGGUGGUGGGCUCUCCUCCCUUGGAGGUUCAUAAGCAGGGGUUUGGUGGCCAUCUUGUUAGGGAUACGUUAUCUCAGAUUCCUGCAUCGCAGGGGGUUGGACUAGAUGAAACACAGGGUCCCUUUCGAGUAUACGAUGCUGUGAUCUCCCAGGUUGGGAAAAGCUGGUGUAGACCACAUCGUCUGGCUCAAAAGAGCUUCGGACUUCUUGACAUUCCAAGUUGCAUCAUUUUCUGGAAAGAUGUAUUGUAUUUUGAAUCUCCCAGAUGAAGAGAAUUGUAGAUCCGGGAACAACUGCCUUAAACGCCUUCUCUGAGCACCCCUUCAGCUUUGAACUUUAUGUACAAAUGAGUGGAUGUGGAUGGUUUUGGAUGUUAAAACAUCCCUUCGUGGGAUGCACCCAUACCUCAGGUGCUGGCAGUGUCAAAAAUGGCAAAAAUGACAUGUUGGCAAAAAUGACAUGUUGCAAGAAAUUUCAAGUUGGAGGAAUGCAAAUCCCAGAAAAUGUGCAGAAGAGGGCAUGUUCCAUCUGUGCUGCCGUCUUGCAAGAUCCACUUUCAACAACCACCAUCCCACACAACGGGGUUUGCACUCACAUGUUAGCAUUACCUUCCCACAGGGUGAAUUUGAUUGAAAUCAAAUUGAUUUAAAUGAUUAAUCGUGAUUUAAAUCCCUAGUCAGUAAGACUGGACUUAACUCUUUUCUUUUUAACAGAAAUUCUCAUUCUUGCUGGUAUAAUCUUAAUAUUUACAACCAGAUGAAGGUUUCAUUUUUGGAAUAAAAAAAUUUCACAGUAGUUUUUUACAGUUAUAUAAAAAAUUUCUGGUUUGGUUAUACCGUACUAUUAGAAAUCUAUAGACAGAUAACUUGUUAAACCUCACAAUAAUUUCGUAAUUGACUGUUUAUAUUUGGACAACUUUUCUGCUGUACUUUAUUGGAAGGAGAAAAAUAAUCAUUUCCUUAAUAAUUUAUUUAACUAAAACAAUAACAUUAUAGCAUAUGUAUCCAUGUUUGUUAACUGAUGUGAUUAAACAAUUAAAAAAAACACACAGCUUAGACUUGAGUUUUAGCAUGCAUGGAAAACUUAAAACAAAUCCUUAUUUCCUGAUUAAUACCCUUUGGACUAUAAUGUAACUUAAAUAGAAAGAUUUUUUCCUCCAAAAGCAUAUUAUUUUAAAAAUCCAUUUUAAAUUUUAAAAAAUCAUUGAUUUUUAUCCACCCUGCCUUCCGAAUUAAAAGUGUAUUUUUGAGCAUGUAUUUUCUCUCAACAUAAGCACAUUUCUCAACGUAUUUUCUCCAGAUAUAUAAUCUGAUAACAUUUAUUUCAGUUGAGAAUGGCAUCAAAAUCCUGUGGAUAGCUAAAGUCCAAUCCGGUCAUGAAUCAAGGAGGUGUGGAACUGGUUAGUACAUAUCAGAAUCCCUCCUUUGCUGCAUCAUUUGUGGAAAGACCUGUGGAAAGCUGUAUUAGCUGAAUUCAUCUAUGUACCUUUGCAAACUAUCCUCAAUAAAGUUGCUUUGUUCAUCUAGCAAUACAUAAUUGUGUUUUUAUUGAGGGUUUCUAGCAAUCUCUUCUCCUUUGGCCCUUUCCCUUGGAUAACGUCAGUAAAUAGCUGAAGCUGUUAUAGGAAACCAAUAAUUUUUGAAACCUAUGAGAGUGUUACUAAAUUUUGAAGGCAACUGGAUUUCAGCCAAUUUAUAUAUCUAGAGCAUUUUUAUUCUGCUUUACAACCAGAAAGGCUACCAGAGUGACUUGCAUAAAGUCAAUCCGAGACAGUCCCUUUAUACAGGCAUACAGACCAAAAGACACAACACACAAGGAAAAGGGGAUGGGGAAACAAACUUCCGACACCCAAGUCUCCAAUAUCUCAGAAGGAGCACAAUACAGGUAAAACUCAGAAAAUUAGAAUAUCGUCGAAAAGCAUUUAUU